AUUGAACGCUGGCGGCAUGCUUUACACAUGCAAGUCGAACGGUAACAGGGGGCUUGCUCCGCUGACGAGUGGCGAACGGGUGAGUAAUGCAUCGGAACAUGCCCAGUCAUGGGGGAUAACUACGCGAAAGCGUAGCUAAUACCGCAUACGCCCUGAGGGGGAAAGUGGGGGAUCUUAGGACCUCACGUGAUUGGAGUGGCCGAUGUCAGAUUAGCUAGUUGGUGAGGUAAAGGCUCACCAAGGCGACGAUCUGUAGCGGGUCUGAGAGGAUGAUCCGCCACACUGGGACUGAGACACGGCCCAGACUCCUACGGGAGGCAGCAGUGGGGAAUUUUGGACAAUGGGCGCAAGCCUGAUCCAGCCAUGCCGCGUGAGUGAAGAAGGCCU
RNAcentral lists this ribosomal RNA (387 nucleotides) under uncultured bacterium. RNAcentral's name for it is "bacterial SSU rRNA". It matches the Rfam family "Bacterial small subunit ribosomal RNA", at positions 30 to 417 of the family's 1533-position model. The record is from RNAcentral.